RNAcentral lists this ribosomal RNA (608 nucleotides) under Cryptococcus sp. HB1144. RNAcentral describes it as "eukaryotic LSU rRNA". It matches the Rfam family "Eukaryotic large subunit ribosomal RNA", at positions 68 to 667 of the family's 3401-position model. The record is from RNAcentral. Lineage: Eukaryota; Fungi; Basidiomycota; Tremellomycetes; Tremellales; Cryptococcaceae.
ACUAGGAUUCCCUUAGUACGGCGAGUGAACCGGGAUGAGCUCAAAUUUGAAAUCUGGCGUCUUUCAGGCGUCCGAGUUGUAAUCUAUAGAGGCGUUUUCCGCGCCGGACCGCGUCCAAGUCUCUUGGAAUAGAGUAUCAAAGAGGGUGACAAUCCCGUACUUGACGCGACAACCGGUGCUCUGUGAUACGUUCUCAACGAGUCGAGUUGUUUGGGAAUGCAGCUCUAAAUGGGUGGUAAAUUCCAUCUAAGGCUAAAUAUUGGCGAGAGACCGAUAGCGAACAAGUACCGUGAGGGAAAGAUGAAAAGCACUUUGGAAAGAGAGUUAAACAGCACGUGAAAUUGUUAAAAGGGAAACGAUUGAAGUCAGUCGUGUGAAAGGUAUUCAGCCGUCUCUGGCGGUGUAUUUGCCUUUCACGGGUCAACAUCAGUUUAGUCCGGUAGAAAAAGGCUGGAGGAAGGUGGCACCCUCGGGUGUGUUAUAGCCUCCUGUCACAUGUGCCGGAUUAGACUGAGGAACGCAGCUUGCCGCAAGGCCGGGGUUCGCCCACGUACAAGCUUAGGAUGUUGACAUAAUGGCUUUAAACGACCCGUCUUGAAACACGGACC